This 35-nucleotide ribosomal RNA is filed under the name Oidiodendron griseum. RNAcentral describes it as "partial 28S ribosomal RNA". The record is from RNAcentral. Lineage: Eukaryota; Fungi; Ascomycota; Leotiomycetes; Myxotrichaceae.
GUUGACCUCGGAUCUAGGUAGGGAUACCCGCUGAA